RNAcentral lists this unclassified non-coding RNA (218 nucleotides) under Plagiobothrys torreyi var. torreyi. Its description in RNAcentral is "partial external transcribed spacer". Lineage: Eukaryota; Viridiplantae; Streptophyta; Magnoliopsida; Boraginales; Boraginaceae. The record is from RNAcentral.
UUUCUGGCUACAAGGGGUGAACCACGAAGUAAUCUCUGCUUCCCACUCCUCCCGCAUUCGGUUGUGGUUGUUAAUUGGUCCACAGGGUAUUCGCUUGAGCUCAUCGGUUGCGGUGCAUUAUAUACGGGGACGAGGACUCGCGUCCUCUAUCUGCCCGAACAAAAGCUUUCAUCGCUUAAGCUGCGAACGAACUGCGAUCCCCGUUUCGAGCCUCAGGC